AUAUUUCAAGACCUGAAUCUUUUCGUUCCAGAAGAAGAAACCAAAUCUUCAGCCCCAUGAGCCUAGAAGGCCUUCCGAGGGCGGACCUUGAAGCUGGUGGACCGGAUGACGUCAUCGUCGGCGUUGAGCCUCUGCUGCAGGGUGCUCAGGGAAUCGGGCUUGGUGAAGUAGGUGACGAGGAGGUAUAUGCCGUCGUAGUAGGUGGACGGCAGCCCGGUCCGGCUGUUCCUCUUCCUGAUGCUGUAUGCCAGCGGGAUGACGCCCCGGUUGAACACCUCCACGU
This 283-nucleotide long non-coding RNA is filed under the name Setaria viridis. Its description in RNAcentral is "long non-coding RNA (SVIR_LNC010051)". Lineage: Eukaryota; Viridiplantae; Streptophyta; Magnoliopsida; Poales; Poaceae. The record is from RNAcentral.